AUUGAACGCUGGCGGCAGGCCUAACACAUGCAAGUCGAGCGGAUGAAGGGAGCUUGCUUCUGGAUUCAGCGGCGGACGGGUGAGUAAUGCCUAGGAAUCUGCCUGGUAGUGGGGGAUAACGUCCGGAAACGGGCGCUAAUACCGCAUACGUCCUGAGGGAGAAAGUGGGGGAUCUUCGGACCUCACGCUAUCAGAUGAGCCUAGGUCGGAUUAGCUAGUUGGUGGGGUAAAGGCCUACCAAGGCGACGAUCCGUAACUGGUCUGAGAGGAUGAUCAGUCACGCUGGAACUGAGACACGGUCCAGACUCCUACGGGAGGCAGCAGUGGGGAAUAUUGGACAAAGGGCGAAAGCCUGAUCCAGCCAUGCCGCGUGUGUGAAGAAGGUCUUCGGAUUGUAAAGCACUUUAAGUUGGGAGGAAGGGCAGUAAGUUAAUACCUUGCUGUUUUGACGUUACCAACAGAAUAAGCACCGGCUAACUUCGUG
Molecule: ribosomal RNA, 484 nt
Filed under: uncultured bacterium
Lineage: Bacteria
Description: partial 16S ribosomal RNA
Rfam family: Bacterial small subunit ribosomal RNA
Source: RNAcentral